Equus caballus (horse) is the source of this 1554-nucleotide long non-coding RNA. The record is from Ensembl. Lineage: Eukaryota; Metazoa; Chordata; Mammalia; Perissodactyla; Equidae.
AAAGAGAAGAGGUCAGCUCACUCUCAAGGGAGACAAGAACAAAAGGGGUCUGCAGUCUUAUGAACCCUGAGGCUGGAGGGAGGAAGCAGAGAGAGGAUUAGGAGUAGAAAAUUACUGAGUACUGAGUUAGAAGGAGAAAAAAUGUCUUCGAGUCUACCUCUCCUCAAUAAAGAGGUCUGAGUAGAGGCAACUUACAAAGGCCUCAGCGAAAGGCCACAAAUAAAGAGGGCUCCACCUGAGGACACUGGGGUCAAGAACACAGCUGUAUAAGUUUAAGAGCUUGGCCCACCAGUUGCAGUUGCCUGAAACUCCCUUCAGAAACUGUAAUUCAUUCUGUCCGCACCAAGUCAGCUGUGACAAAGCCAGCUCUCCCCGAGGCCUGCCAGGUUGGAGAGGAUGUGGAGAGAAGGAAACCCUCGUACACUGCUGGUGGGAGUGAAAACUGGUGCAGCCACUAUGGAAAGCAGUAUGGAGUAUCCUCAGCAAAUUAAGAAUAGAUCAACCAUAUGAUCCAGCUAUCCCACUGCUGGGUAUUUAUCCAAAGAACUUGAAAACACAAAGUCAUAAAGAUACUUGCACCCUUAUCUUCAUUGCAGCAUUAUAAACAAUAGCCAAGACUUGGAAGCAAACUAGGUGCCCAUCGAGGGAUGAAUGGAUAAAGAAGAGGUGUGAGCAGUGUUUCCUGGAGAUAUAUUGGCUAAAGUGAGAAGUGGAGAUACAGAUUAAUUGAAAAUCAAUUUUUGGAAUAGAUAAUGGGCUCUUAGAUAGCAUCCCAUUGGCAGCCUUUCAAAUAUCGUUCCAUUUUCUGCAGGCCUUAAUUAUUUCUGAUAAGGGUUCAACCCUUGUUUUUCUUCUUGGAGACCAGCUUGCUGAGCCAUCGUUAAGAAAUUGUUUGCUGUUAGAGAAAUGAUUGUGGAGCUCAUCUCAUGAACAUCCAUGCUUCCAAAAUUUGAGGUUGUGUUCUGCCUGAUGGCCAAGUUAUAUUAACUCUUGCCUUACAUAUUUUACCUGAUUGUUUGUUUGUUUACAGUGGAGGGGCUAAUCCAUUGUUAACUACUUCAUCAUACUUGGAAUUGAAAUCUCCGAGUUGAUAUGUAAUAUUUGGUAUUAAUAAACAGACAUACAUAAAACUUAAUUUCAUCUGCCAAAGAAAAUAAAAUUGUUUUCAACUUCGUUAAAAUAAAAGUAAAGUUAUAGCUCACAUAAUUUCAGGAUGGUAAGAGCACAGUGCUUGUAUCCUCAUCUCAUAAGAAGAUGAGUCAAUGGAUAAGGUUUAAAGUUGUCUAAAGUUGAUAUUUUAAUUAAAAAUCCACUGAAGUUUUAAAAUGUGUAACUCUUCCGUAUCUAGUGGAAUAAAAAUAACGGUGAACAGAGUGAUUUUAAUAAGAUAAAUUGUCAUCUUUUGUUAUAAUAAGUCACUAGUUCCUAUUUAAUACUGAUGAGUCAAAAAUCAGAACUAUGGAAAUAACCAUGAGAAAUAUUGCAUAUUAAUUGCUGGAAUACAAUAUUAUUGAAGGAAGAUGGAAAACAAUAAAUAGGAAACUUCCUCUUCUU